RNAcentral lists this ribosomal RNA (440 nucleotides) under uncultured bacterium. RNAcentral describes it as "partial 16S ribosomal RNA". It matches the Rfam family "Bacterial small subunit ribosomal RNA", at positions 338 to 795 of the family's 1533-position model. The record is from RNAcentral.
CCUACGGGAGGCAGCAGUGAGGGAUAUUGGUCAAUGGGGGAAACCCUGAACCAGCAACGCCGCGUGAGUGAAGACGGUCUUCGGAUUGUAAACCUCUGUCCUCUGUGAAGAAAAUGACGGUAACAGAGGAGGAAGCUCCGGCUAACUACGUGCCAGCCGCCGCGGUAAUACGUAGGGAGCGAGCGUUUUCCGGAUUUACUGGGUGUAAAGGGUGCGUAGGCGGCGCUGCAAGUCAGAAGUGAAAUCCAUGGGCUUAACCCGUGAACUGCUUGUGAACCUGUAGGGCUUGAGUGAAGUAGAGGCAGGCGGAAUUCCUGGUGUAGCGGUGAAAUGCGUAGAGAUCGGGAGGAACACCAGUAGCGAAGGCGGCCUGCUGGGCGGUAACUGACGCUGAAGCACGAAAGCGUGGGUAGCAAACAGGAUUAGAUACCCUAGUAGUC